GGCCUUGCGACCGUGGGGUUGGAAGACAUCAAACGGUGUGCUGCCGCAUACCAAUCGUGUGCUCACACUCUAUCCGAAGACGUCUGGAAAGCGUCGCCAGAGACCGUGACAGCCGGGUAGGAGACAGGGCCGUGACCCGAUCUGAUGCUCUUGAGUAGCGCCGGACACGAGCAAUCCGGCGUGAAGCUGGGGGCCCACCUCCCAAGGCUACAUACACGCAGUGACCGAUAGCGCACAGUACCGUGAGGGAACGGUGAAAAGUACCCCGGCGAGGGGAGUGAAAUAGAUCCUGAAACCGUCUGCUUCCGUGCAGUCGAAGGGGUAGGCGUAAGCCACCCUGACGGCGUGCCUUUUGGAGUAUGAUCCGACGAGUUACCCUCCGUGGCCGGUUAAGCCAGUUGUAGGCGGAGCCACAGCGAAAGCGAGUGUGAAUAGCGCGUUUGUCGCGGGGGGUAGACCCGAAACCGCUGAGCUAUCCAUGGUCAGGCUGAAGCGUCCGUAACAGGACGUGGAGGGCCGCACCGGUGU
Molecule: ribosomal RNA, 528 nt
Filed under: uncultured bacterium
Lineage: Bacteria
Description: bacterial LSU rRNA
Rfam family: Bacterial large subunit ribosomal RNA
Source: RNAcentral